AACGUUUUUGAAUUUUGAUAAAUAAAAGGCAGAGAGACCAUUGACCGAGGGUCAAAUAGAGCCCAAAAGGGUUCAUGAUUCAUGAAUCUAGCCGGAAGACCCGACCCGAACCGACCCGAAAUAGACCAAAUUCAAACCCACGAACCAAACCCACAUCAGAGAAUUCUAUGAAGCGAUCUAAGGAUCCUUUUGAAGCUGCUCUUGAGGAGCAGGAUGACUCACCCCCUGAAUCCCCUGUUGGCACUGACGAGAAUGAAGGCCAAGACCAAGCUGCAGGUGAUGAUGUUAAUACCACUUCUCGUGAAAAGCCUUCAACAUCUAAAGCUGCAUCAGUCUCUGUUGGUACUGCUGGUCCAAUUAGCAAGCCCAAAGAGGAAGAUGAAGAAGAAGAGGACGAAAACAUGGAUGUGCAGUUGGGAAAACUCUCAUCAAGUAGUGAUCCUGACAAACUGGAAAAGAUGCAGUCCAUCUUAUCCCAAUUUACGGAGGAGCAAAUGAGUAGAUAUGAAUCUUUUCGGAGAUCUGGAUUUCAGAAAUCCAACAUGAAGCGGUUGCUGUCCAGCAUCACAGGAAGUGCAAAGAUAUCUAUUCCUAUGACAAUUGUGGUGUCUGGGAUAGCAAAAAUGUUUGUUGGCGAGCUUAUUGAAACAGCUAAAAUGGUGAUGGCAGAGAGAAAAGAUACAGGACCAAUCAGGCCAUGUCACAUAAGAGAAGCAUAUAGAAGGCUAAAACUUGAAGGCAAGAUUCCGAAAAAAACAGUGCCAAGGCUUUUCCGAUAGCGGACGUGGAAGCAACCUGUAGUUUUAUUUCAGGUCAAGUAAACAUUGGUAGUCACAAAGUUGUCACGGUGCUUCUGACACUUUUGCACUGCCCUAUUAUAUGUAGGGUUAGCUUGUUUAUUUAAUCACCUAAUCAGAGGAAAGUGUUUAACAUUUGUGAAAAUAUCCGUGCUUCCCCUAACCUGGAGCUGAAAAUGUGGGAAGGAGAAUGUUACCUUCUCAAAAGAAAAAAAAUGUGAUUUGUAGCAGCCAGCCACUUCCUUAGCAGAAAGGCGUACAAUGCACUUGUAAAUCUUGGACGAAAAGCUUGGAUGAAGUUUUUAGGUUUUCUUCAGCCCAAUAUUUACCUUUACAAGGUGAAGUUUUGGCUCUUCUUUGAGAUGCUGGGUUUCGUUCGGAGAAGUUAAAUUUUAGAGCAUUCAGCCGCCAUGAGAAGAGAGUUCUCACCUUGACUUGAGGAUUGGCAGGACGAAGACCCGGAACAAGUGCAACCAACUUAGUUGUAUAGUUUAUAUAUAGUGUUGUAUAUUGAGUAUCAGCUGUUGCUUUCAUUUUUCCCUUUUCUGAAGGGGAGCAUACAUAGCAUACAUGAAAUUAUCAAAAAUAGUAGAAAAUGAUAGAAUGUCAAGAAGAGAUAGUUAAUGGCCAAA
This is an RNA transcript of Lycium barbarum (goji berry), 1429 nucleotides long. It is a transcript of the gene named transcription initiation factor TFIID subunit 11-like, with no coding region annotated. Lineage: Eukaryota; Viridiplantae; Streptophyta; Magnoliopsida; Solanales; Solanaceae. The transcript is spliced from 7 exons. The record is from RefSeq and is a predicted model, not a curated record.